This 22-nucleotide ribosomal RNA is filed under the name Pleosporaceae sp. GX1-5D. RNAcentral's name for it is "partial 18S ribosomal RNA". The record is from RNAcentral. Lineage: Eukaryota; Fungi; Ascomycota; Dothideomycetes; Pleosporales; Pleosporaceae.
GUCUCCGUAGGUGACCUGCGGA